RNAcentral lists this ribosomal RNA (253 nucleotides) under uncultured bacterium. RNAcentral describes it as "partial 16S ribosomal RNA". It matches the Rfam family "Bacterial small subunit ribosomal RNA", at positions 524 to 776 of the family's 1533-position model. The record is from RNAcentral.
UACAGAGGUCUCAAGCGUUGUUCGGAUUCAUUGGGCGUAAAGGGUGCGUAGGCGGCGCGGUAAGUCGGGUGUGAAAUUUCGAGGCUUAACUUCGAAACUGCAUUCGAUACUGCCGUGCUAGAGGACUGGAGAGGAGACUGGAAUUUACGAUGUAGCGGUGAAAUGCGUAGAUAUCGUAAGGAAGACCAGUGGCGAAGGCGGGUCUCUGGACAGUUCCUGACGCUGAGGCACGAAGGCCAGGGGAGCAAACGGG